AUGUGCUAUGUCCCAAGCUUCCUUCUAGCUCUGAUAUUCUAUGCUACAUGGUCCUUCUCAGUUUUAACAUUACUCCAACAACUCUCUGCCACUCAUUUUAAAAGUAAGAGCAUUCCCCAAGAAUUUGUCAUGCUCAACUAUGCAUGUUGGUUAGAAGGGAUUUGUUUUUCCCUAUUGGAGCAAUGGGGGGGGGGGGGGUGGAUAAGAAAAGAGGGGAAAACAGAAAAGACAGAAAAGAAGAUCCUUGAGAUUUUUUUAAUGCAUAGAAGAAAAAGAAGGAAAGCCAGAAAGAAGCACAAAGGAGCAAGGCAACUUUGGAAGCUACAAAGGAAGCACCCGGACUCACAGAGUAGAAAUGACUGCCUCAAGGUCACCCAAGGAAUCACUGUAGAGCCAGGACUCCUAUUUUGCUCUGCUGACUUCAAGAGAGUUCCAGACCCCUUGGCAGAAGGUGAGACCGGUUUCAGGAUAUCUCCAGGAGGGAUGGGCUGAAUGGAGCUGUGUUCCCACUCCCUUGUCUCCUGGUAACUUCUUGGUAAUCAUGUUUGCAUUUUGCCUAGCUGGAGUGGGGUCAGGACUUUGACUCUGGCUAAGGUCAAGGCUCAGUCUAGAGCCAGAAAACAAGUCCUCCCCCAAUAAUCCAUAACUAAAUUAAUCAGAAUAAUAUUGCACUUGUAACCUUGAUCUUGUCAGCAUCGCUACCAGCCCUGGAGGUUAAUUAGAAGCCCAGCGUGAAGGUGACUCUACACUGGCCCCAUGUCCUGAGAUGACUUCUCUCAGAAGUAGGUCCCUGCCAUCUUGCCCGUGGGAGCUUUUAUCUUAAAUGAUCUGGGCACAUCCAAAGCCCCAAGCCAAUGGAAUCAUUUAUUGUUGUUGUCCUUCCAUCAUUCAGUUGUGUCUGACUCUUUGUGACUCUGGACAGCGUUGUGCCAAUACGGUCCGUGGAGUUUUCUUGGCAACAAUAUUAAUUCGAGUGAUUUGCCAUUUCCUCCUUUGUCCUUAAAUUGAAUGUAUGAACUGAUAAAAUAAGCACUUCUAUGUUGAGAUCACAGAGCAUGCUUGGGAGCACAGUUGUGCCUUCUCCACCCAUACCUCCCCAUAUGGAUGUUGUGUCACAACCACCAGAAAAUAAAACACUUAUGGAGGCAGGAGCA
This 1154-nucleotide long non-coding RNA is filed under the name Monodelphis domestica (gray short-tailed opossum). RNAcentral describes it as "lncRNA (ENSMODG00000036652.1)". Lineage: Eukaryota; Metazoa; Chordata; Mammalia; Didelphimorphia; Didelphidae. The record is from RNAcentral.